GUGUCUUAGAAAAGAAGAGUGGGGAGUACUGUACUUGACAAGGAUGGAAGAGACCCUCGGGCCUGACAACAAGCUUACAGUUAAGGCAUUGCCACCCACUUCAUGGCAUCCAACUAUCAUUUUUA
Molecule: non-coding RNA, 125 nt
Filed under: Mandrillus leucophaeus (drill)
Lineage: Eukaryota; Metazoa; Chordata; Mammalia; Primates; Cercopithecidae
Source: RNAcentral